AAAUAAACUGUACUCAAGUAAAAGUAAAAAGUAGCCACUUAAAUACACUACUCACCUAUUAGAGUAUUAAGCAAAAAAAACUACUAAAGUACCGAGUAAUUGUGCAUCUGAUUGGUGAAACGGAGUCAAACGUCACCAGUGACUGUAUUUGAUUGGUGAAACGCAGGCAUGCAUAGAUCCUACUUUGAAGAUGUGUGCUGCUUUACGAGGCGGUGCCAGCGUGACGAAGAGGAGCACGCCCAUUAAUCUCCUCCUGGCUGUGCAGACAUUCCGGGAGGGCCGCGCUGAUCACGCCAUCAGUGGCGAUAUGAGGCUGCUGGUAGAAGGAGCACAAUGCUGAGGGAUCAAUGGAACCUUGGCGGAGGUCAGCCUGACAUGAAAUAAGCUUCUGUCAUGGCGGCCCAUUUCUGUGUGUGUGUGGAAAGUUAGCU
Long non-coding RNA from Nerophis lumbriciformis (worm pipefish), 431 nucleotides. RefSeq lists it as uncharacterized. Lineage: Eukaryota; Metazoa; Chordata; Actinopteri; Syngnathiformes; Syngnathidae. The record is from RefSeq and is a predicted model, not a curated record.